UUUGUAGUUAGAUGUUCAAAAUCCAGCUCCUAAAAAAAAUUGCCAUCUAAUCCUCAAGAUUCUUGAAGUCCACAAAUAUUCAUUUUUCCAAUGUAAAAAAAUUGCCUGGAUGCUUGAAGUUUUACCCUGGAUGAUAUGUCAUCUGAAAAAACCUCAGCAAUUAUUUCGCAUUAAGCCAUGUAAUGCUCUGUAAAGUGGUGUUUCCCAGCCUGGGACUCAACCUGGUGUGUAAAAAACUUUUUUGAGAAUAUUUAAAGAUACCGAAGCUGAAGCAAACGGAGGGAUCAAAGUUGUUUGAAAGGGAGCAAGUAUGGAAAAACAGAGAAGAAAGGAGAGAUCUCUAUUAGGUGUGCCUGCCUGGACCUGAGUGCUGCUGUUGCAGGGGUACCAGGGGUCUCCACUGCCUGUAUGCCUGCCUGGCCAGAUCCUGGAGAGAGCAAUGGGGACCAGAGGGACCACAAGGUACAAAACCAACUUAUAACUGGAGAUACCAAAGGAUGCAUUUGAAAACUAUACCCAACCCUCGGUAAGUGCGAGGAUGAUAUGCAUCCUCUCAGCGUAUGAAUUAUUUAUUUACAAUAUUGAUGCUUGAGAAAAUUAGAAAUCGGUACCCAUCAGAAGUGCAUAUAUGACAUAGUGUGAUAAAUGAGUGUUCUAAAGUGCUUUGCUUUCAUAAAGAAUUCUUAUAAAUCUUAAUGAAAUAUCG
This 706-nucleotide long non-coding RNA is filed under the name Phasianus colchicus (ring-necked pheasant). RNAcentral describes it as "lncRNA (ENSPCLG00000000884.1)". Lineage: Eukaryota; Metazoa; Chordata; Aves; Galliformes; Phasianidae. The record is from RNAcentral.